GUCCACGCCGUAAACGAUGUGUGUUUGUCGCUGGGGAGUUUACUCUUCGGUGACGGAGCUAACGCGUUAAGCACACCGCCUGGGAAGUACGGUCGCAAGAUUAAAACUCAAAGGAAUUGACGGGGACCCGCACAAGCGGUGGAGUAUGUGGUUUAAUUCGUCGCAACGCGAAGAACCUUACCAGGCCUUGACAUGCCCUCUAUGGGUCCCAGAGACGGGACUCUUCACUUCGGGUGGGAGGGACACAGGUGCUGCAUGGCUGUCGU
This 266-nucleotide ribosomal RNA is filed under the name uncultured bacterium. RNAcentral describes it as "partial 16S ribosomal RNA". It matches the Rfam family "Bacterial small subunit ribosomal RNA", at positions 793 to 1055 of the family's 1533-position model. The record is from RNAcentral.